RNAcentral lists this ribosomal RNA (1343 nucleotides) under uncultured bacterium. RNAcentral describes it as "16S ribosomal RNA". It matches the Rfam family "Bacterial small subunit ribosomal RNA", at positions 28 to 1378 of the family's 1533-position model. The record is from RNAcentral.
GACGAACGCUGGCGGCGUGCUUAACACAUGCAAGUCGAACGGAAAGGCCCUGCUUUUGUGGGGUGCUCGAGUGGCGAACGGGUGAGUAACACGUGAGUAACCUGCCCUUGACUUUGGGAUAACUUCAGGAAACUGGGGCUAAUACCGGAUAGGAGCUCCUGCUGCAUGGUGGGGGUUGGAAAGUUUCGGCGGUUGGGGAUGGACUCGCGGCUUAUCAGCUUGUUGGUGGGGUAGUGGCUUACCAAGGCUUUGACGGGUAGCCGGCCUGAGAGGGUGACCGGCCACAUUGGGACUGAGAUACGGCCCAGACUCCUACGGGAGGCAGCAGUGGGGAAUAUUGCACAAUGGGCGGAAGCCUGAUGCAGCAACGCCGCGUGCGGGAUGACGGCCUUCGGGUUGUAAACCGCUUUCGCCUGUGACGAAGCGUGAGUGACGGUAAUGGGUAAAGAAGCACCGGCUAACUACGUGCCAGCAGCCGCGGUGAUACGUAGGGUGCGAGCGUUGUCCGGAUUUAUUGGGCGUAAAGGGCUCGUAGGUGGUUGAUCGCGUCGGAAGUGUAAUCUUGGGGCUUAACCCUGAGCGUGCUUUCGAUACGGGUUGACUUGAGGAAGGUAGGGGAGAAUGGAAUUCCUGGUGGAGCGGUGGAAUGCGCAGAUAUCAGGAGGAACACCAGUGGCGAAGGCGGUUCUCUGGGCCUUUCCUGACGCUGAGGAGCGAAAGCGUGGGGAGCGAACAGGCUUAGAUACCCUGGUAGUCCACGCUGUAAACGGUGGGUACUAGGUGUGGGGUCCAUUCCACGGGUUCCGUGCCGUAGCUAACGCUUUAAGUACCCCGCCUGGGGAGUACGGCCGCAAGGCUAAAACUCAAAGGAAUUGACGGGGCCCCGCACAAGCGGCGGAGCAUGCGGAUUAAUUCGAUGCAACGCGUAGAACCUUACCUGGGUUUGACAUGGAUCGGGAGUGCUCAGAGAUGGGUGUGCCUCUUUUGGGGUCGGUUCACAGGUGGUGCAUGGCUGUCGUCAGCUCGUGUCGUGAGAUGUUGGGUUAAGUCCCGCAACGAGCGCAACCCUUGUUCACUGUUGCCAGCACGUUAUGGUGGGGACUCAGUGGAGACCGCCGGGGUCAACUCGGAGGAAGGUGGGGAUGACGUCAAGUCAUCAUGCCCCUUAUGUCCAGGGCUUCACGCAUGCUACAAUGGCUGGUACAGAGAGUGGCGAGCCUGUGAGGAUGAGCGAAUCUCGGAAAGCCGGUCUCAGUUCGGAUUGGGGUCUGCAACUCGACCUCAUGAAGUCGGAGUCGCUAGUAAUCGCAGAUCAGCAACGCUGCGGUGAAUACGUUCCCGGG